CUUUUUUUUUUUUUUUUUGAAGUUUUGGGGUAGCAAGCUUUACUUGUUUUUUAGAAGUUGCUAUUCAGAGAGUUAGAAUAUCUUUGGACUUGAGAAUGAUAACUUGUUUUCUUGGUUUACAGGUUGUGGACGUACCUAAUGUUUCGUGGGAUGCCAUUGGACUGAAUUUUAGCAUUUUUUUCUCUCAAUCUUUUUCCUUUUUUUUUUUUUGGUUUAAACAGACCAUGGCAUGGAUACUAGAUGAGUACUCAAAAGUUUCAUGGCUACUCACCUGCAGUAGUGACUGGAAAGCCUAUUGAUAUUGGUGGAUCACUAGGAAGAGAUGCAGCAACGGGAAGAGGAGUACUUUUUGCAACAGAGGCAUUACUCAAUGAGUAUGGAAAGAGCGUCUCCGGACAACAGUUUGUUAUACAGGUGGACUUUUACUGAACACAAAAAGUUUAUAUGGUUGAGAUGUUUGAGAAAUUUGGGAUGUCACCUUCUAAAGGCGUUCUCUUUUAUGGACCACCUGGCUGUGGGAAAACCCUUCUCGCCAAGGCAAUUGCCAAUGAAUGCAGUACUCAUCAGUAUCCGGCGCAACAAUGCAGUACUCAUCAGGGUCUGUCGAAUAUUUGCUCGUUCUAUUUCAGUUUUUAUGAACCGUAUAAGCAAUUCUACUUUAGCACAUAACCUCA
Long non-coding RNA from Pyrus x bretschneideri (Chinese white pear), 674 nucleotides. RefSeq lists it as uncharacterized. The record is from RefSeq and is a predicted model, not a curated record. Lineage: Eukaryota; Viridiplantae; Streptophyta; Magnoliopsida; Rosales; Rosaceae. The transcript has 2 exons.